AAAAACCCCCAGAACCAUGGCGUAUUGAUGACGUUCAUCUCCUUCAGUAGCACCAACGGUCGACGGCUCCCAACCCUCACCUCUCUACUUCACAAGGUCCUCCUGUUCGCUGAAUGCUAGUCCUUGAUUUCCUCCUAUUCGUCAAACUCUAUAUCCCUCUCGAUCUCUAUCCCUCCAUUGCGCAUGCACCCAAGCACCCAAGCACAACCGAUCUAUGGCUUUGGCGAGCAAAAUUCCUCUACUAGCAGCCCUAAACAAGUUUUAUUACUUAAGUGAACUCAUUUUGUUUUUGUAUAUUCAGCCGAUUACCUAGGCUUUGCUUUCUCUUCGGGGAUUUACUUAUUGAUGCUUGAUGUUGGUUGGUCUGUGAUUCUAUUUAUGUGUGUGUGUGAGUGAGUAAAGCUUGAUUCACUUUUUUUUUUUUUAACUUUCUAAGUAUUAGGCAAUGUGGGUUUUGAAUGAUUUGAAGAUUGUUAACCAAUACAAGUUUUCUGUACAUAGGGGCUAUACAUAUCUUCAUGUUUUGCUCUUUCAAUUGCCAUUCAAAGUGGGCCAGGGUCUUCAUACAGGAACUAUUCUAUGAUAGAUCGUUAUUGGAUUGCUUUCUUUGUGGCGCUUUCACUUCUUGUUGGAGCAUUUGAUGCUAGUGCUGGCUAUUUUAAUCCUAUUUACAGGUAAUCCUUCUUCCUUCUUAAUGUUGUCACUUGGUACAGUGGCGGUGCAGGCAUCUUUCUUGUUGUGGUUGGGAUGAUAUUGUGCUAGCAGUUAUAUUUCUCUCUCCUGUGCCCCAUGCUUACCAGGGUUCUUAUUGUGCAUAUAAUCGUGCCCAUAAGAUACCUCAAAACUCUGGAAUUUAAGUGGUGCAACAGUCAUGUUUUUGCAUUUGUGCUCUCUAAUGGUUUAAGCACCAAUGUUGGUUAAGUUUUGGUCGCUUUAGAUUAGGCCUAUUUAUUCAAAUAGCUGAAUGACUUGAUUCUGUAAAGACCCAUUUUAUUCACGGGAUAGAGCUUGGAAUCAGAUUCCAAAUCCCAAAGGGAAUACAUUUGGAGUGUUUGGCUGCAACAAUUGGUGGAGAGAUUCCUUAUCAGUUGGACAACCCAUCCAUGUAACGUGGUUGUUGAAUAUUGACGAUCUGUGGUAAUGGUAAUUCCAGUUUGUAUUACUCGUCCUAUACUAAUUCCAAGAUAUUGUCUAUGGGUUCACUAUUAGUUUGGUUUGUGAAAAAGGGUCCAAAAUACAUAACUUGAAAGAUUUGGUCAGUUGGACUGGUCAACAGUUACAUUAAUUUGUAAAAUUGGAAGACCUAAAGACUAACAUAUUACUUUGGAUUUCCCAGUUAUUACCUGUGAGUUGAUUUCGUAAAUAAUGAGAACUGGUUACAAAACAAUUAGUACCAGACAUUUCACUAGUAUUUUACACUUCAUACUUGCAGCCUGGACCCUACAUUUUGACUCAUUUCAGGAUUUAUCUGCUGCAGAUUGUUCUAUAGCACUACUCCUUUAUGCAGUAUGGGCCGACAAUAACACCUGAAUUUUGGCUUCUUUAAUUUUCAGUUUUUUGUCUCAGCUCUUUUCUUUGUUCUAUAGCACUACUCCCUUAUGCAGUAUGGGCCGACAAUUAACACCUGAAUUUUGGCUUAUUUAAUUUAACAGAGACCUUUUCUUUUGUUUCUUGUUUGGAAAAGUUACAAGUACCAAGAAAAAGAAAGAAAGGUUACGAUCACAUCCACUGGACACUCCAGGUUACUGAAGUUCUUAGCUCUUGUUUUGCAUGAAGAUAUUUAAGAAGGCUGCCACAAAUGCAUAUCCUGGUAAGGUAAUGAGAUGCAAUCAAAAAAUGUGCUUGUAUGCAAAUCUCUUAAUGCUUGUUGGCAACUCGUUAUAUGGGUUAGGUCAUUAUAUUGCAA
Molecule: long non-coding RNA, 1906 nt
Organism: Rhododendron vialii
Lineage: Eukaryota; Viridiplantae; Streptophyta; Magnoliopsida; Ericales; Ericaceae
Exons: 3
Source: RefSeq, a predicted model, not a curated record